Molecule: ribosomal RNA, 404 nt
Filed under: uncultured prokaryote
Description: bacterial SSU rRNA
Rfam family: Bacterial small subunit ribosomal RNA
Source: RNAcentral
UGAGGAAUAUUGCACAAUGGGCGGAAGCCUGAUGCAGCAACGCCGCGUGAGGGACGAAGGCCCUCGGGUCGUAAACCUCUUUUCUGAGGGAAGAGACAAGGACGGUACCUCAGGAAUAAGUCUCGGCUAACUACGUGCCAGCAGCCGCGGUAAAACGUAGGAGGCGAGCGUUAUCCGGAAUUACUGGGCGUAAAGGGCAUGCAGGCGGCUUGGUAAGUUGGACGUGAAAGCUCCUGGCUUAACUGGGAGAGUGCGUUCGAAACUGCUGAGCUUGAGGCUGGGAGAGGGGUGUGGAAUUCCCGGUGUAGUGGUGGAAUGCGUAGAUAUCGGGAGGAACACCAGUGGCGGAAGCGGCACCCUAGACCAGGCCUGACGCUGAUAUGCGAAAGCGUGGGGAGCAAACA